This 858-nucleotide ribosomal RNA is filed under the name uncultured bacterium. RNAcentral's name for it is "bacterial SSU rRNA". It matches the Rfam family "Bacterial small subunit ribosomal RNA", at positions 28 to 898 of the family's 1533-position model. The record is from RNAcentral.
GAUGAACGCUGGCGGCGUGCUUAACACAUGCAAGUCGAACGGUGAAGGAGAGCUUGCUCUCCGGAUCAGUGGCGAACGGGUGAGUAACACGUGAGCAAUCUGCCCCUGACUCUGGGAUAACAGUUGGAAACAGCUGCUAAUACUGGAUAUGAGACGUGAAGGCAUCUUCGACGUCUUGAAAGAAUUUCGGUCAGGGAUGAGCUCGCGGCCUAUCAGCUUGUUGGUGAGGUAACGGCUCACCAAGGCGUCGACGGGUAGCCGGCCUGAGAGGGCGACCGGCCACACUGGGACUGAGACACGGCCCAGACUCCUACGGGAGGCAGCAGUGGGGAAUAUUGCACAAUGGGCGCAAGCCUGAUGCAGCGACGCCGCGUGAGGGAUGACGGCCUUCGGGUUGUAAACCUCUUUCAGCAGGGAAGAAGCGCAAGUGACGGUACCUGCAGAAGAAGCACCGGCUAACUACGUGCCAGCAGCCGCGGUAAUACGUAGGGUGCGAGCGUUGUCCGGAAUUAUUGGGCGUAAAGAGCUUGUAGGCGGUUUGUCGCGUCUGCUGUGAAAAUCCGGGGCUCAACCCCGGACUUGCAGUGGGUACGGGCAGGCUAGAGUGUGGUAGGGGAGACUGGAAUUCCUGGUGUAGCGGUGAAAUGCGCAGAUAUCAGGAGGAACACCGAUGGCGAAGGCAGGUCUCUGGGCCACUACUGACGCUGAGAAGCGAAAGCAUGGGGAGCGAACAGGAUUAGAUACCCUGGUAGUCCACGCCGUAAACGAUGAGUGCUAAGUGUUAGAGGGUUUCCGCCCUUUAGUGCUGCAGCUAACGCAUUAAGCACUCCGCCUGGGGAGUACGGCCGCAAGGCUGAA